GACGGAGGAUGCAAGCGUUAUCCGGAAUGAUUGGGCGUAAAGCGUCCGCAGGUGGCAGUUCAAGUCUGCUGUCAAAGACCGGGGCUUAACUUCGGAAAGGCAGUGGAAACUGAACAGCUAGAGUAUGGUAGGGGCAGAGGGAAUUCCUGGUGUAGCGGUGAAAUGCGUAGAGAUCAGGAAGAACAUCGGUGGCGAAGGCGCUCUGCUGGACCAUAACUGACGCUGAGGCGCGAAAGCAUGGGGAGCGAACGGG
Molecule: ribosomal RNA, 253 nt
Filed under: uncultured bacterium
Lineage: Bacteria
Description: partial 16S ribosomal RNA
Rfam family: Bacterial small subunit ribosomal RNA
Source: RNAcentral